RNAcentral lists this transfer RNA (69 nucleotides) under Bos taurus (domestic cattle). It matches the Rfam family "tRNA". From Rfam's summary of the family: Transfer RNA (tRNA) molecules are approximately 80 nucleotides in length. RNAcentral also lists the same sequence under 5 other names. Lineage: Eukaryota; Metazoa; Chordata; Mammalia; Artiodactyla; Bovidae. The record is from Rfam by way of RNAcentral.
CCUGGUGGCUCAGAUGGUAAAGAAUCUGCCUGCAAAGCAGGAGACCCAGGUUUGAUCCCUGGGUCAGGA